RNAcentral lists this ribosomal RNA (253 nucleotides) under uncultured bacterium. RNAcentral describes it as "partial 16S ribosomal RNA". It matches the Rfam family "Bacterial small subunit ribosomal RNA", at positions 524 to 776 of the family's 1533-position model. The record is from RNAcentral.
UACAGGGGGGGCAAGCGUUGUUCGGAAUUACUGGGCGUAAAGGGUUCGUAGGUGGCCAACUAAGUCAGACGUGAAAUCCCUCAGCUUAACUGGGGAACUGCGUCUGAUACUGGAUGGCUUGAGUGUAGGAGAGGAAUGCGGAAUUCCAGGUGUAGCGGUGAAAUGCGUAGAGAUCGGGAAGAACAUCGGUGGCGAAAGCGCUCUACUGGACCGCAACUGACACUCAGGGACGAAAGCUAGGGGAGCGAAUGGG